CGGGUUCCCAACCUUAUCAAGUUCACAGGCAUCUCGAUCACCAAGGAAGGCCAGUACAGCCUGGUCCUUGAUAUUGCAGACCACCCGGUCAAAUUUACGAGUUCGUUCGACGUAAAGCUUUUUUCACUGGGACUGAGACACGGCCCAGACUCCUACGGGAGGCAGCAGUGGGGAAUAUUGCGCAAUGGGCGAAAGCCUGACGCAGCAACGCCGCGUGGAGGAUGAAGGCUCUCGGGUUGUAAACUCCUUUCAGCAGGGACGAAAAUGACGGUACCUGCAGAAGAAGCCCCGGCUAACUACGUGCCAGCAGCCGCGGUGAGACGUAGGGGGCAAGCGUUGUCCGGAUUUAUUGGCGUAAGAGCUCGUAGGCGGCGUUGGCAAGUCGGAUGUGAAAUCUCCAGGCUUAACCUGGAGUCGCCAUCCGAUACUGCUAUGGCUAGAGUCCGGUAGAGGAUCGUGGAAUUCCUGGUGUAGCGGUG
RNAcentral lists this ribosomal RNA (479 nucleotides) under uncultured bacterium. RNAcentral's name for it is "bacterial SSU rRNA". It matches the Rfam family "Bacterial small subunit ribosomal RNA", at positions 261 to 683 of the family's 1533-position model. The record is from RNAcentral.